AUGAAGAGGCGAGUAAACUGGUCGAAGGACUGGAUUGAGUUAGCCUCCAAGCCGGCGAACCACGCCCUUGCCGGGCCACGGAGGGUCGCCGGGAAGGCCUUGCAGAGGAGAGGAUCUGAUGCUCCGUGGAGGAGCAUAAGGGUCCUGAAACUUUCGACGUGAUCCCGCGGGUCCGCCGCCCCGUCAUAGGGCUCGAUCGCCGGCAUUUUAAACCUCGGCGGAUUCGGGGUCCGCAGGAUCCUCGAGGCAAGCGCCGGCUGGGAGGAGAUCUCCAAGUCGGCGAAGGGAUCUUUGGAGUGGCCCUUCAGGACCUGGAGUUGUCGGUGGAGAUCGUCCACCCGCCGGUCCAGGGAGCGCGACCGAUGGGUGGAAGACAAGGAGCACCGAGAGGGGGACCGACUGGAGCACGGGUUCCUUGAGGACUGGGGGAUCUGGGAACGCGCCCGGGCCCGC
This 453-nucleotide long non-coding RNA is filed under the name Phoenix dactylifera (date palm). RNAcentral describes it as "long non-coding RNA (PDAC_LNC017918)". Lineage: Eukaryota; Viridiplantae; Streptophyta; Magnoliopsida; Arecales; Arecaceae. The record is from RNAcentral.